GACGAACGCUGGCGGCGUGCUUAACACAUGCAAGUCGAACGGAAAGGCCCUGCUUUUGUGGGGUGCUCGAGUGGCGAACGGGUGAGUAACACGUGAGUAACCUGCCCUUGACUUUGGGAUAACUUCAGGAAACUGGGGCUAAUACCGGAUAGGAGCUCCUGCUGCAUGGUGGGGGUUGGAAAGUUUCGGCGGUUGGGGAUGGACUCGCGGCUUAUCAGCUUGUUGGUGGGGUAGUGGCUUACCAAGGCUUUGACGGGUCGCCGGCCUGAGAGGGUGACCGGCAACAUUGGGACUGAGAUACGGCCCAGACUCCUACGGGAGGCAGCAGUGGGGAAUAUUGCACAAUGGGCGGAAGCCUGAUGCAGCAACGCCGCGUGCGGGAUGACGGCCUUCGGGUUGAAAACCGCUUGCGCCUGUGACGAAGCGUGAGUGACGGUAAUGGGUAAAGAAGCACCGGCUAACUACGUG
RNAcentral lists this ribosomal RNA (468 nucleotides) under uncultured bacterium. RNAcentral describes it as "partial 16S ribosomal RNA". It matches the Rfam family "Bacterial small subunit ribosomal RNA", at positions 28 to 507 of the family's 1533-position model. The record is from RNAcentral.